ACGUCAUAACGGGUGUAAAGGCUUUAUAUACGAGCUCCCAGCGUCUAACGGUCAGACGCCUGCGGUCUCACCCACGGAAAGGUCUACCUGACAGACCAACUCCGAACAAGGCAGUCUCCCCAUCACAAAGGGUUCUGUUUUAGACAGAGAGACAAAUUGACAUGAUGGGUGAGGACCGCAGAGCCAAAGAAGAGUAUUUUUGUAUGUUUAUUGAAUAAAAUCUAAUAAAAUAUUAAAAACAAA
Molecule: long non-coding RNA, 243 nt
Organism: Saccostrea cuccullata (small rock oyster)
Lineage: Eukaryota; Metazoa; Mollusca; Bivalvia; Ostreida; Ostreidae
Exons: 2
Source: RefSeq, a predicted model, not a curated record